Molecule: long non-coding RNA, 2728 nt
Organism: Columba livia (rock pigeon)
Lineage: Eukaryota; Metazoa; Chordata; Aves; Columbiformes; Columbidae
Exons: 2
Source: RefSeq, a predicted model, not a curated record
UGCUAAUUUUCUAUUGGCGAAGCCGCACUCCCUGGCCCGCUACGCGCCCCGCCUAUUGGAAAGCGCAAGUGUUGGUCAAACGAAUGGCGCCUCUCACUGGCUGGCGUUUAGAACGAUCGUGGCCGCCUUCGGCAGUCUAGAACUCUCACUGGUUCUAAAGAGGAAUCAUUCUCUCUAGCAGCUGGGCAUCGAUUGGUCGCCGCGAGCGCCUCCGCCCCCAAACAGCAUGCAUUCACUCUGAGCACCAAGGCCACUGAUGUUUUCUCCAUGUUCGCUAUUCAUUUUGAAGCUGUGGAGCAGGAUACUUUGCAGCAGGCUUUCUGCUCCAUCUUGCAAGGAGUUCCAGCUGCUCAGCCCUGCAUUAUCUCAGUUGUCUGCUAGACUGGAUACAAGUCUCAGUUCCAACAUUAGCAGGAAAACUGGGAUCUACAAAGGCCCCAAAAGAUGCCUACACAGAAUAGAAUGCAUAGGAAUGGGAUCCUCUAGAUUGUCAGACUCUGAAGGUCUACAUACUUUCGUUUUGCAAACAUCCAAGGAGAACAUAUCCUAAUCCACACCAUGGACAUAAACUCCCCCUCACCUGCUUUCUUCCAAGAAGUACAGUGUUUAAGCAAAGCACAAGGACAUCAGAACAACCACUCUCCCUGCUGGAUGAUAGCCUGGGUCCAGGAAUUCUGCUAAACCGGAGGAAAGGUGAGAACUCAGAGAGACCCACUGGAUUUUAAGUGCUGGAGCCUGCCCAUCAGGCCAGCUUUCCAAGUCACCUCCAGCAGCACGGAACUCCAGCCUGAAGCCACUAGCUGGUAUCUAGGGAGUGGGUCACAUCUGGCUUGGAUUUAGCAUUUGCUAUUUGUUAGCACUCUAAAGACUGUUUAAUUUACGCACAGCUUGCGUGUAUGUGCAUGAGUGUAUGUAUGUAUUAAGACACAGCUGGUCCUAUGGAGACAAGGUUGACUGUUACCCCUGAGGCAAGAGGCCCAUGGAAAGCACGGUGGCCGGUGUUGCAUUAUUGCCCUUUACUAUUCUUUGACCUCCGCUUGAUAUAUUUUUCCAUAACCCUAGGCAGUGAGCUCUCUGUGGGUGGGAACUGUCUGUGUGUUAUUGUCUGUUAAACGAGGACCUCAUUGUGGAAUACAGCUUCCGAACUUCACUACUAGACAAAUAAUACCAACAGGCAAGGUGGCCAGCAUCUGUCUUAACUGGUCCACCACCACAGGCAAGGUGGAUGUUGACUAAUCUCGGGGAAGCCUGCAAUGGGAGCAAAAAACUGUUCCCUUAGAAGUGUGCCAGCACUAGCAAAACAUAAAAGCCACAAUUGCUAAAAGCAGGAAUGAUACACACACAUCACAAGAAGCAAUAACUAGGAUAGAAGCACACAAAGGUGACCUGUGAACCUGCUGAGAAAGACAGUGGGAAAACAACAGCAAGUCUAGUCUAAAGUAAUAGUGUGAGAAAAUUCUUCAAGGCAUAGCAGAGGCACAUACUAGUCACUGGAGCUGCCCUUUCAGUUGUGUUUGUUGCUGAGAACUGAGUGAUGCCAGCAUAUCAAGGGGAUGUCCAGAAGAGUUGGACCUACAUUUCUGAUCCUCUAAUAUGCUUUGUCAGGAAAGAAUGGGAACAUCUCUUUUUACAUGCUGAGGAAACUCAGUGUUUUUCAGUAGAAUUUACACCACAGGGCAAAAAGCAACUGCAGAACAAUGGAGAUUUUGCCUUGCCCACAGUAUCUGAUAUGUGACAGUGCUCUCAGGAUAUUUAUACUCAGGUGCUACUGUUGUUCAAAGGAGCAACAGUUAGUGCUGUUGCAGUGUGCACCACUAAGGACAAAUGAUGAAAAAUAAAGCUGUACCACAAUGAAGUUGAGAGGUCCUUAGCUCAAAGUAAAUAUGACAUGAAGGGCCUAGGCUAAUCCCUGAUUUCCUGGGAAUGGCAUUCAUCUUUUACCAUGAAACUGCUUCAGAAUGCAAGUCCUUUGGGUUACUAAGGAAGCACUGAACACAUUAGCUGAACAUACCUGAUGCAGUACUGCCUGACUGCUUCUGUGGCCUCUGAGGCUCUAGCUUGGGGAAAAUUACAAGUGUUCAGUUCCUCUCCAGUGUUCAUUACUUCUGGAACAUAAUGCUAGGCAUUAAAUGACAAAACAUAUAGUCGUUUCACUGCUAAUCAACUCAUGCUCAUACUAGAAUCCUUGCUUAUUCAUCACACCUUCCCAGAUCCCAUAAGCUCCUGUUGCCUUCUACUCAACUGUCCAGUUUGGAUUGACAGAAUGAACCCUCUCUGAGUGGUGGUGUCAGGACAAAAAUGUUCAGCAUUCUGAAAACUGAAAGUAAAAAGAUUCAAUAAACCCAAACAUAAAAACAUAACACAAGACCUAGUGUACUCAAGGUUCUAUGUAUUUUCACAUUUAAUUUCAGUAAAAGUAUACCUUUAAGAUUAGAGUUGACACAAUGUCUAGUCUGCUGCACUGUCAAGAUAAAAAUCCAACAGGUUUUCUAAAGGGACUGUGUCCAGGUUCCUAUGAAGUUAAUGGUGAUGAAGGGCCCUGAUAACGUAGAAUAUUGUUCAAGAGUCUGGGAAUCAGGACAUGCAGGUACUGCUUCGUUUGCACUAUAUACUUGCUGAGAGCGCUUGGGCAACAUAUUUAUUCUCUUUAUGUCUCUUUUUCCUCAGAGAGAAAGUGGUAAUAACAACACUCCUAACUUCUACACACAAAAUUAAAAGCAUAAAGCAA